Molecule: ribosomal RNA, 314 nt
Filed under: uncultured bacterium
Lineage: Bacteria
Description: bacterial SSU rRNA
Rfam family: Bacterial small subunit ribosomal RNA
Source: RNAcentral
UACCUACUCUUGACAUCCACGGAAUUUAGCAGAGAUGCUUUAGUGCCUUCGGGAACCGUGAGACAGGUGCUGCAUGGCUGUCGUCAGCUCGUGUUGUGAAAUGUUGGGUUAAGUCCCGCAACGAGCGCAACCCUUAUCCUUUGUUGCCAGCACGUAAUGGUGGGAACUCAAGAGAGACUGCCGGUGACAAACCGGAGGAAGGUGGGGAUGANGUCAAGUCAUCAUGGCCCUUACGAGUAGGGCUACACACGUGCUACAAUGGCAGAUACAAAGUGAAUGCGAACUCGCGAGAGCAAGCGGACCACAUAAAGUCU